GACGAACGCUGGCGGCGUGCUUAACACAUGCAAGUCGAACGAAGAGCGACGGAAGCUUGCUUCUAUCAAUCUUAGUGGCGAACGGGUGAGUAACGCGUAAUCAACCUGCCCUUCAGAGGGGGACAACAGUUGGAAACGACUGCUAAUACCGCAUACGAUCUAACCUCGGCAUCGAGGAUAGAUGAAAGGUGGCCUCUACAUGUAAGCUAUCACUGAAGGAGGGGAGUGCGUCUGAUUAGCUGGUCGGAGGGGUAACGGCCCACCAAGGCGAUGAUCAGUAGCCGGUCUGAGAGGAUGAACGGCCACAUUGGGACUGAGACACGGCACAGACGCCUACGGGAGGCAGCAGUGGGGAAUCUUCCGGAAUGGACGAAAGUCUGACGGAGCAACGCCGAGGGAGUGAUGACGGCCUUCGGGUUGUAAAGCUCUGUUAAUCGGGACGAAAGGCCUUCUUGCGAAUAGUGAGAAGGAUUGACGGUACCGGAAUAGAAAGCAACGGCUAACUACGUG
Molecule: ribosomal RNA, 510 nt
Filed under: uncultured bacterium
Lineage: Bacteria
Description: partial 16S ribosomal RNA
Rfam family: Bacterial small subunit ribosomal RNA
Source: RNAcentral